RNAcentral lists this long non-coding RNA (471 nucleotides) under Gossypium raimondii (Peruvian cotton). Its description in RNAcentral is "long non-coding RNA (GRAI_LNC002723)". Lineage: Eukaryota; Viridiplantae; Streptophyta; Magnoliopsida; Malvales; Malvaceae. The record is from RNAcentral.
UGAGAACAGAAGCUCGUUACUUUUUGUUUCCCUAUAAUUUGGGCUGUAGAGCUCUAUCCAUUUAUUCAUUCGACCCAACUUUGAAUUCAAUUCAUUUUUUUGUUCCGCACCAAAAAUUCAAAAACGGUUUUUUUUUGGAAUGAUCCAGAAAAAAGGAUUCUUAGAAUUCUCCAUUGCUACGACAUGCUCUUUUUUCCAUCCACUCCUUUCAGGAUCAGUCGUGGUCCUACAAACUCUACCGAUGGUCUGAAUGAAUCCCUUUCUUCAUACAAAUGUGUAAAAGAUGCUAGUCGCACUUAAAAGCCGAGUACUCUAUCGUUGAGUUAGCAACCCGAAAAAAAUUAGAAUAUAUAGAUAUAAUCGGAAUAAAAAAUGGAAUUGCACUAGGCAAUCAAAACACGAAAUUAGCAAAAAUUGGAAUAAAAAAAAGACACGAAAUUCUCAGAUAAAACCAUAGAAAUAUAAAUAAAA